CACGUAGUUAGCCGGGGGCUUCUUGGUCGGGUACCGUCCGCGGCUCUCGCGAACCGUGUUUCUUCCCCGCUGACAGAGCUUUACGCGCCGAAAACGCUUCUUCACUCACGCGGCGUCGCUGCAUCAGGGUUUCCCUCAUUGUGCAAUAUUCCCCACUGCUGCCUCCCGUAGGAGUUUGGGCCGUGUCUCAGUCCCAAUGUGGCCGUCCGCCCUCUCAGGCCGGCUACUGAUCGUCGCCUUGGUGGGCCGUUACCCCGCCAACCAGCUAAUCAGACGCGGGUCCAUCCCGUACCACCGGAGUUUUCAAGAAAGAAACAUGCGUCCCCUUCUGUUAUGCGGUAUUAGCACCUGUUUCCAGGUGUUAUCCCCCGGUACGGGGCAGGUUCCCCACGCGUUACUCACCCGUCCGCCACUAAGGCCCGCGCCUUCCGGGUCUGGUAAACCAUCCCCUUCCGCCGCUGGCCCCCGUUCGACUUGCAUGUGUUAGGCACGCCGCCAGCGUUCAUCCUGAGCCAGGAUCAAAACUCU
RNAcentral lists this ribosomal RNA (528 nucleotides) under uncultured Eubacteriales bacterium. RNAcentral's name for it is "uncultured Clostridiales bacterium partial 16S ribosomal RNA". Lineage: Bacteria; Bacillati; Bacillota; Clostridia; Eubacteriales. The record is from RNAcentral.